This 606-nucleotide ribosomal RNA is filed under the name Leptographium olivaceum. RNAcentral describes it as "eukaryotic LSU rRNA". It matches the Rfam family "Eukaryotic large subunit ribosomal RNA", at positions 1 to 612 of the family's 3401-position model. The record is from RNAcentral. Lineage: Eukaryota; Fungi; Ascomycota; Sordariomycetes; Ophiostomatales; Ophiostomataceae.
UUGACCUCGGAUCAGGUAGGAUUACCCGCUGAACUUAAGCAUAUCAAUAAGCGGAGGAAAAGAAACCAACAGGGAUUGCCUCAGUAACGGCGAGUGAAGCGGCAACAGCUCAGAUUUGGAAUCUGGUCCCUCGGGGCCCGAGUUGUAAUCUGGAGAGGAUGCUUCUGGCGCGGCGCCGUCCGAGUUCCCUGGAACGGGACGCCGGAGAGGGUGAGAGCCCCGUACGGUCGGACGCCUAGCCUGUGUGAAGCUCCUUCGACGAGUCGAGUAGUUUGGGAAUGCUGCUCAAAAUGGGAGGUAAAUUUCUUCUAAAGCUAAAUACCGGCCAGAGACCGAUAGCGCACAAGUAGAGUGAUCGAAAGAUGAAAAGCACUUUGAAAAGAGGGUCAAACAGUACGUGAAAUUGUUGAAAGGGAAGCGCCCGUGGCCAGACUUGUGCCCGGCAGACCAUCCGGCGCCCCCGCGCCGGUGCACUCUGCCGGGCGCAGGCCAGCAUCGGUUUUCCCAGGGGGAUAAAGGCGGCGGGAACGUGGCUCCCUCGGGAGCGUUAUAGCCCGCCGCGUCAUGCCUCUGGGGGGACCGAGGACCGCGCAUUUAUGCAAGGAU